GACGAACGCUGGCGGCGUGCUUAACACAUGCAAGUCGAACGGUGAUGCUCCAGCUUGCUGGGGUGGCUCAGUGGCGAACGGGUGAGUAACACGUGAGCAACCUGCCCAAGACUCUGGAAUAAGCGCUGGAAACGGCGUCUACUACUGGAUACGAAACUGGCCCGCAUGGGCAUGGUUUGGAAUGUUUUUCGGUUUGGGAUGGGCUCGCGGCCUACCAGCUUGUUGGUGAGGUAAUGGCUCACCAAGGCGACGACGGGUAGCCGGCCUGAGAGGGCGACCGGCCACACUGGGACUGAGGCACGGCCCAGACUCCUACGGGAGGCAGCAGUGGGGAAUAUUGCACAAUGGGCGAAAGCCUGAUGCAGCGACGCCGCGUGAGGGAUGACGGCCUUCGGGUUGUAAACCUCAUUCAGCAGGGAAGAAGCGAAAGUGACGGUACCUGCAGAAGAAGCACCGGCUAACUACGUG
This 468-nucleotide ribosomal RNA is filed under the name uncultured bacterium. Its description in RNAcentral is "partial 16S ribosomal RNA". It matches the Rfam family "Bacterial small subunit ribosomal RNA", at positions 28 to 507 of the family's 1533-position model. The record is from RNAcentral.